Molecule: ribosomal RNA, 27 nt
Filed under: Symmetrospora foliicola
Lineage: Eukaryota; Fungi; Basidiomycota; Cystobasidiomycetes; Symmetrosporaceae
Also listed under: 2 other names
Description: partial 18S rRNA
Source: RNAcentral
CGUAGGUGAACUGCGGAAGGAUCAUUA